Molecule: long non-coding RNA, 101 nt
Organism: Poecilia latipinna (sailfin molly)
Lineage: Eukaryota; Metazoa; Chordata; Actinopteri; Cyprinodontiformes; Poeciliidae
Exons: 3
Source: RefSeq, a predicted model, not a curated record
AAAAACAUUUCAAAAACCCAUCAAUAAAUUAAUGCUAAGCCUGGUGUCAGCACAAGUAAAGCCAGGAGGCCCGCCAGGCUUAUAAUACACUGUGGGAAACC